This 497-nucleotide ribosomal RNA is filed under the name uncultured bacterium. RNAcentral's name for it is "partial 16S ribosomal RNA". It matches the Rfam family "Bacterial small subunit ribosomal RNA", at positions 29 to 507 of the family's 1533-position model. The record is from RNAcentral.
ACGAACGCUGGCGGCGUGCCUAAUACAUGCAAGUCGAGCGGACUGAUUGGAGCUUGCUCCCAGACCGUCAGCGGCGGACGGGUGAGUAACACGUGGUCAACCUUCCUGUAAGACUUGGAUAACUCCGUUAAACCGGGGCUUAUACCUGAUGACUCUUUCCCUCACAUUAGGGAAAGCUGAAAGAUCGCCUCUCGCUAUCACUUACAGAUGGGCCCGCGUCGCAUUAGCUAGUUGGUGAGGUAACGGCUCACCAAGGCGACGAUGCGUAGCCGACCUGAGAGGGUGAUCGGGCACACUGGGACUGAGACACGGCACAGACUCCUACGGGAGGCAGCAGUAGGGAAUCUUCCGCAAUGGACGAAAGACUGACGGAGCAACGCCGCGUGAGUGAUGAAGGUUUUCGGAUCGUAAAACACUGUUGUCAGGGAAGAACAAGUACCGGAGUAACUGCCGGUAGCUUGAAGGUACAUGGCCAGAAAGCCACGGCUAAAUACGUG